Molecule: ribosomal RNA, 475 nt
Filed under: uncultured bacterium
Lineage: Bacteria
Description: bacterial SSU rRNA
Rfam family: Bacterial small subunit ribosomal RNA
Source: RNAcentral
CUGGCGGGUGCCUAUGCAUGCAAGUCGAACGGGUAGCUUCUUCGGAGUUACUAGUGGCAAACGGGUGAGUAACACGGGGGAUCUGCCCAGUAGUGGGGAACAACUCCGAGAAAUCGGAGCUAAUACCGCAUACGGUCUGUGUCGAGGGACACGAGACUAAAGCCUUCUUCGCAAGAGGAGGGCGCUAUUGGAGGAACCUGCGGCUGAUUAGCUAGUUGGUGGGGUAAAGGCCUACCAAGGCGAUGAUCAGUAGCUGGUCUGAGAGGAUGGACAGCCACACUGGGACUGAGAUACGGCCCAGACUCCUACGGGAGGCAGCAGCAAGGAAUUUUCGUCAAUGGGGGAAACCCUGAACGAGCAACGCCGCGUGGGCGAAGAAGUCUUUCGGGAUGUAAAGCCCUUUUCCCUGUGAAGAAAGAAAGACGGUAACAGGGGAAUAAGCAUCGGCUAACUACGUGCCAGCAGCCGCGGUAAU